Molecule: long non-coding RNA, 1605 nt
Organism: Gymnogyps californianus (California condor)
Lineage: Eukaryota; Metazoa; Chordata; Aves; Accipitriformes; Cathartidae
Exons: 6
Source: RefSeq, a predicted model, not a curated record
UGAAACGUGGCUGGAAGCAGGAGCAUGAGCUAUGUGGCUGAAGGCCCGGGACUGUCCGAGGUUUCUGAGAAGAGAGCCAGAAAUCAAACCUGGAACCUGUUGCUGCUAAUCAAAUCAUGACAGAAAGCUUGCCAUUUCGUGCAGUAGAGGUUCUGUCAUGUGAUAUUGCUCCACGCAGAGGGAAGUCAGAGCAGCCCUGCACGCUGCUUUACACCACUGGAAAACGUUGAGCUUUGGCUGUGGGAAGGUCGAGUAAGGAGCUGCAUGAGUGCAAGGGGAGUCCCGUCAUCUGGGCGUGCAGAGCUUCACCUGUGUCCCUGCUUCUGCAGAAGGGCGAUACCGCAACAUGAACGUAUCUUGCUGUUCCAUUAUUGUCUCUGCUCUGCUGAGUUUUCCCACCUUCUCCACUGGCAGGGAUUCAGUGGCAGAGAGCAAGGCCUCCCUCGGUGAACCAUCAGAGACCGGGCUCUUUCUGUUUCUUGUGUGAACUGAAGUGCCAGCAGCCAGCCAGCAGUACUGCCACCACCAGUUUCCCAUCCUCUUGUCCUGAUGCAAUCCCCAGUGAUAAGCACCAGCUCUAGCUGAACGCAGGUCAUCCAGAAAUGGGACCCAAAUGCAUGUAUACUAGUUGCAUGGGAACUUGCUGAGAAUGGAGUACUGCCAAGGGAAUGAUACCAUCAAUAAGAAAAUGGGAACUUGGGUGUAGAAUUAUUUAUUUACUAUUUAUCCAUGGCUGUGUCUUGGUUUUUUUAGUUGCAGCAAAGAGUGACUACUGUGUAGUGUUACAACUUUGUUCUGUAAGGUUUCUCAAGAAUGAGACAUCUGCGGAACCUUAAGCCUCUGUGAUGAUCAUUAAGCCCCUGGAAGAAAACUAAAAGGAAUGUUCAAAAUCCAGAUACAAGCUGAUUAUGGUUUAGAGCUGGACACUUUACUCCUGGUGCUCAGGCAUAGGACUGGGGUAGGGUUAGGGGUGAGGAAGCGAGGACUUUCAGAGCUGAGUUUCCAGAGUAGUCCUGUUCAUCCCAGAAAGUCUGUCUGUAACUGGUGUUCCAGCAUCAUCUCUGACUAGAAAAAAGAAGUUCUCCCAAAGGAUGUUUCAGCAGUGGCUGGUGAGCUCCAGGAGAGGCUGUCCUCUCAGGUCUGGCAAGCAGAUUUACCUUUAGUUUCUCAACAAGUGUCUGCCCUUUGUUUGACUGAAUUUUUUUCUAACCAUGAAUUCUGACUGCUUUGUAGUUUUAAUUCGUUGUUCAAUACUGCUGUUUUGGGGAAUUUAUGAACUCUUUGAUCCUCUCUUCUCCUUACAAAAAGGAUUUAAGAGUGGGACAUUGUGUAAUGGUAUGUGCACUUGGCACAGCAAGCAGUAAAUAGGAUGUUUUUCGCUAGCUACAUGAUUUGUAGUAUGUUUCAUCUUCCGUCUUCCAUAUUGUAAUUAUUUCAGCAUCUCUGUCCUUCUUGUCCGUUAUACUACCUUCCCCAGCAGCGUGGAAGCGAGCAUGUUGUACACAAGGAUCACCCAUGUUCCAGCUGCUUUCCUCACCUGAGGCCGGGGUGUGGGGCACUGGGAGUGCAGAAGCUGGGGAGAAGAAGAGGGAGGCUGAGCACAAC